CCUACGGGAGGCAGCAGUGAGGAAUAUUGGUCAAUGGGCUUACGCCUGAACCAGCCAAGUCGCGUGAGGGAAGACUGCCCUAUGGGUUGUAAACCUCUUUUGUCAGGGAGCAACUUGCGCUACGUGUAGCGUUAUCGAUAGCACCUGAAGAAAAAGCAUCGGCAAACUCCGUGCCAGCAGCCGCGGUAUUACGGAGGAUGCGAGCGUGCGCCGGAUUCAUUGGGUUUAAAGGGUGCGUAGGCGGAAUGCCAAGUCAGCGGUAAAAUCGCGGGGCUCAACCUCGAUCCGCCGUUGAAACUGGCGGUCUUGAGUGGGCGAGAGGUAUGCGGAAUGCGUGGUGUAGCGGUGAAAUGCAUAGAUAUCACGCAGAACUCCGAUUGCGAAGGCAGCAUACCGGCGCCCAACUGACGCUGAGGCACGAAAGCGUGGGUAUCGAACAGGAUUAGAUACCCUGGUAGUC
RNAcentral lists this ribosomal RNA (460 nucleotides) under uncultured bacterium. Its description in RNAcentral is "partial 16S ribosomal RNA". It matches the Rfam family "Bacterial small subunit ribosomal RNA", at positions 338 to 795 of the family's 1533-position model. The record is from RNAcentral.